Molecule: long non-coding RNA, 4640 nt
Organism: Pan troglodytes (chimpanzee)
Lineage: Eukaryota; Metazoa; Chordata; Mammalia; Primates; Hominidae
Exons: 2
Source: RefSeq, a predicted model, not a curated record
AGUCUGCAUAGGGGAGGAAAUCAUGAGAGAUCCUGACCCUGGCCUAACCAGGAGGGGUGGAGGGCAGGAAUGGCCUGAAGAGGGGGAUAUUUUAUCAGUGACAUUGAUUAGCAUUACAAGUGCAUGGUAAUAACAAAAAGUACGCCCACUUUUAAUUGUUUUUAUUACUGUUUUUAAACUACGCAAACACUACACCCCUCAUCUCCUGCACCCCAGGAAGACUGUUCCCAUUGCCCUACAGUACACCACUGGACUUACAAGCGAGUCUUCUGCUCAAUGUGGAGAAAGAAAAUAUUAAAUUAAGGAAGGUAGAGGAACCUCAGUAUCUCUGAUCUAUCUAUCAACUAUCUAAAUGUUCUUUCAACAAACAUUUGUUGAGUACCAACUAUGAGCCAGUGCUGUGUAAAGUUCAACAAAACAAGGUGGUGAAGGCAUAGCUGCUGGGCUCUGUACCUGGUUAUAGACCCAGACCCAGUAGGGGCAAUGACACUGAAUGGUAAAGACUUCCCUACAGAUGAGAGUCAAGUGCUUGGUGGAUGUUAUAGAUGUGCUGAGUUCUUCUAUUGUAGAAUACCAGGGGAAGUCAAUCCCAAGAGGUGAUGUGUUAGGUGGGCUCUGAAAGUCACAUAAGAUAUUGCUGGGAAGCAAGAGGAGGAAAAUGUUUUGAGUGAGGCACAGAGAUGUGAAAAGGGAUGGCCUGUUUGGGAAUGCAGGCUAGUGUGUCUAGCACCCCUGUCGCUUGAACUGCAGCCCAACAUACAGAAGAGCGGGGAAAGAGGACAGUAAAGGUUAAGUUGAGCCAGGCAUGCAACAGGCCUUGAAUGCCACAUUGAAAAUAAAACCCAAGAAACAAAAAAAGCAAAAUUACCUUCUACCAAUGGGCAGCCACCAAGGUGUGGAAGUGGGGAAUGACACCAGGAGCCUUUUACUUUUUGAAAACUCCCCUGCUGGCUGUGAAGAUCACAGCCAACAUGGCUGACCUUAACUCUGUGCAAAUGUCAGCGAGCAAGGAAAGUGGAGCUCCCUAUAGCAUGCACCUGCUCUCUGCACCAAUGUUUCCAUCCCUUUAUUUGCUGCCAGUUUUCUGAACCUCAAAAACCCAUUCAUGUUUAUUAAUGACUACCUAUAGUACAUCACAAGUGUGACAUUUAAAACUUAAAGUUGUUUGAAUUAUGAGAUUGCCAAGAAAGUAAAAAUUCCUCUACAUUUGAAACCCUUUCAGUUCUACCAGCCCCCAUAGCUAUGGAAAAAGAGCUUAAGAGUUUUCAAACUCCACAGAAUUUUGUUUAUAGAAGGACCAACUGUGAAGUAUUUCAAACACUAGUUAUUAUUGUGUUGUUUUGAAAGCUGUGAAUGUGUCAAAGUCUUCAGUAGGGAAGGUCCAUUAUCUCUUAUGCAAUGAUAAUAAAAUACAUAACAUGAUAUAAUUAUACAUAUAUUAAAAUGAUGCAUGUGCAGGCACAGAGUCCAGAACAGAGCAAAAUGGGAAAAGGAAUUAUUGUUGUGUGCUCCGAAGAACAUUGGCUUUAGUGUGAGACAGUCCUGGGCUCAAACACCAGCCUCCAUUUCCUUCUAAGGAAUCAUUGCUAAGCUUCAAGGAAACAGAAUACACCAAAGACAUUAAUUCUGUCCAAGCAAGGUCACACUGACAUUUAAUCCAAAUGGAUAGUGAUAUUGAGCCCUCUUAGCUUGAUUGCAGGGUGUCCUUCCUCUCAUCGGCAUCUUCUGAUUCUUUCUUCCACUUGCAAAAAGAUAAUACCAUGUGCCUACAAUUAGUUUACUCAUUGCCCUUGUCCUGUGGGUUAUGUCAAUCAGGUAAAGCUUUGGCUGUGUUACAACAGCAGCACCCCUAAAUCCCAAAGGGUUUACACACAAAAGUGUGUUUCCGGCUCACACAAAAUCAACUUAGAAUCCAGGUGACCUUGGCACAAUUAUCCCUCAUGCCACUUGCCCCCACUGCCUCCAAGUCUGAGGAGGAAGGGGGCUGGGAUAUGGACACUGGCUCUGCCCCAUUUGGAGCUACUUUUUCACUGGACCCUGCAAAAGUCUUUCUCUACCCAGAACUUCACAAUAUCUCUCAUGAAAUCAGAGUCUUCAGCUUCGCUUUCAUUUGUGUUUUCUCCUGUAUGUAAAUAUCAGUAAAUGAACUUUCAAAAACCCUCUCCAGCUGGGUGUGAUAGUGUGUGCCUGUGGUUCCAGCUACUCAGGAGGCUGAAGUAGGAGGAUUGUUUGAGCCCAGGAGUUUGAGGCUGCAGUGAAAUACAAUCAUACCACUGUGCUAUAGCCUGGGUGACAAAGCUAGACCCUGUCUCAAAGAAAAAGAUUAUCCAUUUUUACAAUGAUAAGGUAUAGACCACAGAACACAUUCUAAAUCAAUUUCACAAGUUUUUGCCAGGCCCCAGCUGUAGGCCAAGACAAGGUUAACUCACUGACUUAGCAACUCCUACCACUGAAACGAGUGGCAAGUGUAGCAUGGAAAAUGAAAAAUGGAAAAUAGGUUUCCAUGACCAAACCCAUCACUGAAUUCCUCUAUGACAUCUCAAGAAAUGAGAUUUGUAAAUAAUGAACAGAGGAAAAGGUGGCUGCAAAGGAGUCCUCAAGUUUCAUCAUGUAAGGAGCAUAAUAAAAUGUCUACAGCUUUUUAGAGGAUAUCUUUCUGGCUUCUACCCAAGACAACUUCAAAAUUUCAAGGUACUAAUUUCAUCCAGAAAUUAUUUACUUAAAAUCUUGGUACAUUAGAGAGAGAGAGAGGAAAAAGAAGACAGGAAGGAGGGAGGAGAAGGGAAGGGAGGGGAAGGGAAGGGAAGGGAAGGGAAGGGAAGGGAAGGGAAGGGAAUGGAAGGGAAGGAGGCAGGGAGGGAAGGAGGGAGGGAGGGAAGGAAGGAAGGAAGCAAAGAAGGAAGAAAAUUUCCCUUUUUCUUAAACUUUCUUCUUUCAUACCUAGGAGAAAUUAUCAUGUUUUGGAAUUUUUCAGAAAUUUAAAGAUAAUCUAGUUCUAUGACCCUUUUCAGAGAAGGAAAUCUGUAGCUCAGGAAGGUGAGGCCCACCGUCACUCAUCACAGGGUCAGCAAAUGAAUGAACUAAACCUUUGUGCAGCACUUUCCACAAACUCUGUUGUGCUGUCUAGCUAAACAACAGCUUAGAUGAGAGGAAGACCUUGCGGGGUAAUUAUCUCUCCCAGAUCCUAGCCAAAGAAUGCAGCCUUCUGUUUGUACCAAGGCACUUGGUUUCUGUGUUUCUGUGCUGAAAGAACAGUGCCUGUUUGAGUCCUUGGCCAUUGGCCAGAGAAGCUGGGCUCUGGAAGCAGUUCAGGGAGACUGCAGUGAAUGGGAGGAAGGCUCCCAGCUGAGAGGAGGCUCUUGGCUGUCCACUGAGGAGAGGCUAGGAAUCCUUCACAAUGAACGAUUGAGAAAUCCUCCAGGAAGGUAAACAACUUCAAGUGUGCAAUUGGUGGCCAAGGAUGAAAUACUGAUGUAAGCAAAAGGCCAACUAAGUGUCCGCCUGGUUACUCAUUUUUUCUCUUCUUCUUUUCCACUCCCUCCCUCCUCUUCCCCUUCCUGCUCCUUCUCCUCCUCCUCCACCUCCUCCUGCUGCUGCUUCUCCUCUUCUUCCUUUUUUCAUAAACCACUAAAAUGAUUUAUUUUUUUCAGGUAUCUAAACCCUAGAUGUUUAAAAUCUCCAACAUCUAUUUUAGAUGGAGUGUGGGGUGAUGCACACAGCCUAGAGAAACUCCUUAUGUAACUGAGGUGUUUGCCAACCCUUCACUAUUUCUUCUCAUUACUGGUCUGUAACUCAGGGCUCUUCUGCACAGAUAUAGUAGGUAAAUUGCAGAGUUGGUGGUCAAAUAGACCUGGAUUAGAAUUCUGACUCCAUUUCCAUCUAACUGUGUGUCCUUGAGGAAGCUGUUUAAUGUCUCUGAUUUUCACUUUCCACACUAAGAAACAGCACAGACCCUGCAGAAUCAUAAGGAGGAAAUCUCAGAUGCAUUCCAUUACCCAGCUCUCUCCGUGUUAAAGAGCUUCAAGGUUUGCUCCUCUUUUCUUCCCUGGUGACAAUUUUCAUGUGCCGGGUAAAAAUAUUACUCACUCAUUUGUUUAUUCACUAAGUGUUGACUUUAUGGGAUAGUCACUGUUCUAGGUUCUGAGUUUUCAGGAAUGAAUCGAAGACACAGAGUCCCUACUCUCAUGGAGACAGGCUCCUGGUAGUGAAGGCUAUGUGUCAGGCCUCUGAGCCCAAGCCAAGCCAUCGCAUCCCCUGUCACUUGCACGUAUACAUCCAGAUGUCCUGAAGUAACUGAAGAUCCACAAAAGAAGUAAAAAUAGCCUUAACUGAUGACAUUCCACCGUUGUGAUUUGUUCCUGCCCCACCCUAACUGAUCAAUGUAUUUUGUAAUCUCCCCCACCCUUAAGAAGGUACUUUGUAAUCUCCCCCACCCUUAAGAAGGUUCUUUGUAAUUCUCCCCACCCUUGAGAAUGUACUUUGUGAGAUCCACCCCUGCCCGCAAAACAUUGCUCUUAACUUCACCGCCUAUCCCAAAACCUAUAAGAACUAAUGAUAAUCCACCACCCUUUGCUGACUCUCUUUUCGGACUCAGCCCCCCUGCACCCAGGUGAAAUAAACAGCUUUAUUGCUCACACAAA